Molecule: long non-coding RNA, 435 nt
Filed under: Papio anubis (olive baboon)
Lineage: Eukaryota; Metazoa; Chordata; Mammalia; Primates; Cercopithecidae
Description: lncRNA (ENSPANG00000049624.1)
Source: RNAcentral
AUGAAUGAAACUCUGGUUUAUUCUCUACCUAUCUUCAGAAGCAAGACUGACCUCCUUGGACCAGACUUUCUGGACAAUUUGCUGGCAGAGGAAGAGACAACAAGAGGAAAAAAGUGGACUUCCUGCACAAGGAGAGACCAUGUGAACACACAGCAAGAACGUGGUGCUCUGCAAGUCAGAAACAGACCCUUCAUCAGACACCAAAUCAGCCAGCACCUUGAUCUAGGAUUUCUGGCCUCCAAAAUGAAGGACGCUGGGAGCCAUGGACAGCUCUAAACACGAAGUGGCAUCCUCUCAUAGAGCUGAAUCCCCCACGCUCUCUAUCCUGUCUGCAGACACUUCUGAGCACCAGGACAUCCACUCAGUUCCCACUGACCCAGGUAACUAGGUCCCAGGAGAUUCUGUGUCUACACUUACCUCCCCAACAGAGCAAGU